RNAcentral lists this long non-coding RNA (1070 nucleotides) under Cottoperca gobio. RNAcentral describes it as "lncRNA (ENSCGOG00000020234.1)". The record is from RNAcentral. Lineage: Eukaryota; Metazoa; Chordata; Actinopteri; Perciformes; Bovichtidae.
UAUGGAGCAGGAAGUCCAAUCUCUGACAGAAAAGGAUGAGCUGAUCGUGCACAAUAUCACAGAUCAAAUUCAAGUUGAGAAUAAAGAUCAGCCACUAGUAGAGGUUGAAGAGUUGCAAGAAUUAGAUCCAGAGGAGGGUAGCAUUCAAAGGCUCGAAAAGGAUGUAAUAUCAGAGGACAUAAUAGCAGCCGAAACAGUUACAUCACUCCAAGAGGAAACAGUGUUGCUUACUGAAGUCAAUGUUGAGCCUGAAAAGGAAGAUGAACUACAAACAGAUGCUGCUAAACCUGAACAUGUUCAAGUACCAGAAGCUGUGCAAACCUCCACAUUAGAUUCAGAAGAGGGCAGUGUCCAAUCACCAACAGAGGAAGUAAAAUCAGAGGACUUUCCACCAACAGAAACAGUUACAGGUGAACACAAACAGACAGAAGAUCGUCUCACUGAAAUCAGUGUUGAGCCAGAAAACAAAGAACUACAAGUGAAUGUUGUCAAAACUGUUCCAGAACCAGAAGUAUUACAAGCACCCACAUUAGAGUCAGAGGGGGGUAGCCUUCUAUCACUUGAAAAGGAAGUAAUAUCAGAGGAUGUUACAGAUGAGCCCAACAAGGAAACAAUACCUCUCACUGAAGUCAAUCUUGAGCCAGUGGAUGCUUCUAAAACUGAAAACGUUCGAGAACCAGAAGUCUUACAAUCUGUUCCAGCACCCAUAUCAGACUCAGAGGUGGGUAGCCUUCUAUCAAUUGAAAAAGAGGUAAAAUCAGAGGAUACACCAGAAGCAGAAACCGUUACAGAUGAACCCAGGGAAGAGACAAAACCUCCCAUUACAGUCAAUUGUGAUGCUUCCAAAACAGAACAUGUUCAAGAACCAGAGGUAUUAGAAGCUGUUCAAGCAGCUACAUUAGAUUCAGCAGAGGGCAGUGUUCAAUCACUUGAAAAAGAGAUAAUAUCAGAGGAUAUUCCAGUAGUGGAAACUGUUACAGAAGAGCCCAAAAAGGAAGCUGAUGUUAAGAUAGAAGAAGAAAAACUAUCAAUAGAAACUGCCAAAACCAAAUAUGUUCAAGAACCAGAAG